Coregonus clupeaformis (lake whitefish) is the source of this 562-nucleotide long non-coding RNA. RefSeq lists it as uncharacterized. The transcript has 4 exons. Lineage: Eukaryota; Metazoa; Chordata; Actinopteri; Salmoniformes; Salmonidae. The record is from RefSeq and is a predicted model, not a curated record.
GGUUGACACCUCCAAUGUUGAAUCUGACGAGGAACCAGCGAAGAGGGCGGUGACUAAACCAAUCAGAUUCCGUGUAGAGCCACCUGAUGAUGAUGGAAGUGAAGCACUCCAGAAAAAGACAAAUGAACCCAGACAAGCCCAGCGUACAGUGCCACAGCUUCCACCAGCCCCUAGUGUAACUUCAAGAGCCAGUGUCUUUGAAAAAACCCUACAACAAGAUGAAGAGGACUUGAGGCCAUGUGCCACCUCAAGCCAGAGCGACAGUAAGUGUCUGGUUGUAGUUUUAGGGUAAACAAUUAGUUUUAGGGUAAACAAUUGAAUUGUAUGAAAUAUUAUAGCUCUACAAACCUUUUAAAGCCACUCAAUAGAAUACAAUUACCAUCAUAUUUUUGCAUAUGAGGUUAUUUAAAGUCAUAUUACUACUUUGUGCAUACUGUUAGAACUUUCCAAAUAGUUGUGGUGCUGUGUAUGGGUGAAGCUUGUAUUUCCAAAAGUAGUGAAAUCACCCUAUUCUUCUGGGGUAAAACACAAGUGUGAUGCCAUGUUUGUAAAUAUCUGUAUG